GUGGAUUAGAUACCCUGGUAGUCCACGCUGUAAACGAUGGGCACUAGGUGUUGAUUUCGCCACGGGCGGGAUCGGUGCCGGAGCUAACGCAUUAAGUGCCCCGCCUGGGGAGUACGCUCGCAAGGGUGAAACUCAAAGGAAUUGACGGGGGCCCGCACAAGCGGUGGAGCAUGUGGUUUAAUUCGAUGCAACGCGAAGAACCUUACCGGGGCUUGAACUGUCUUGGAACCCCGAUGAAAGUUGGGGGUGCCCGCAAGGGAAUCAAGAUAGAGGUGCUGCACGGCUGUCGUCAGCU
Molecule: ribosomal RNA, 295 nt
Filed under: uncultured bacterium
Lineage: Bacteria
Description: partial 16S ribosomal RNA
Rfam family: Bacterial small subunit ribosomal RNA
Source: RNAcentral